CACUAGUGGGUUUAGGCUCAGAUUUACCAGGAUAUACUGAAUUGCAGGACAUGUGAAACGAUGACAAGGAGAUCCAGCAAAGCCUGAUAAUGAGAGACUGGAAGAGCCAAGCUCUGCUCCUGCUGUCUAUUUGAUCUGUUCAACUCACCAUAAAUUCUGUUGCAGACUGCAUGGGUAAAAAGCUACAGGAGCAUGAAAAAUCCAGAUAUGUACAAAUCCAAGCAUGAGUAUGCACACUGCACUUCUGAUGGCGAUAAAAGGAAAAAUCAGCUGUGAAAGAAAAUUGCAUAAGGUGAAGAGGCCUCUUGGGAGGAAAAACAUCAGCAACACUGACCCUUCUCCUCCACUCCAGAUCACUGGAUAUUCUGAGGAGGAAGGAACCCACUAGGAUCAUCAAGCCCAGCUCUAAAGUGAAUGGCUCAUAUGAGAAUUAAAUCUACAAACCUUGGUGUUAUGAGCCUUGUGCUCUGUCCAACUGAGCAAAUCUCAGGGUCAUUCACUUGGUCACUGCGGCAAACCAUCCCAAAAAAUGUCAGCUGUCUCAGAGGUUGAAUUCUCUCCAGCACCAAGAAAAGCAGAGCACAGAGAAAAGGCAAAAAGAAGUUCUCAUCGGAAAAAACAGCCUGCUUUUCUGUAAGAAAACAUCUUCCUUAAUGGGAAAAAAAAAGGUGAUACUGGAGCGAUCAAGUAUUUUCAAGAACAUAUUGGAUUUUCUUCUACAAUAAAGAAUGCAUCAUUUUGGAAAUGGAAAGUUGUAUCUGUCAGCCUCCUGGCUAGGAAAUGUCAUAUUAAUCCUAACUUCAUAUGGACACUGUGACAGUGACUCCACCCUUAAUAAACCAUUUAGUGUCUGUUCAGUUUAGUAAAGAACCCUCAGACUCUCAUUCCACUGUGAUGCAGCUUUAGCUAAUAAAUCAGUCAGAGAAUCCUUUUCCUCUCUGCCCUCCCUUCACCACAUUAAUAUUGAUUAUUUGGAGGUAAGGAGUCCCAAGGAGUGGAAGUGGAUACGCCUCAUUGCCUCGAACAAUUCUUUUCCCUCUAUUGGGACAGUACAAGGUAAAUUAAUAGUGUGCUUGCAGACACUAGAUAAUGUUAAUGUACUCGCUAUUGAUAGAGUGAAAUAACAUGCGUAACUUCAGCUUUGCUUAAAACAAAACAUUAAUUUUCCAAGGCCACUAGGAUUUAUGCAGCUAGUCCGUGUAACACAUACAAUCUUUGCUUUUAAAUAUGCAACAUUUGCGUUUUUAAACACAAGGAAGGAUUUUAUUGCCAGAUGAAAGACAAAAGGGGAUUUUAAUUCAUUGCUUAUGCUCUCAGGCUCUUGUCUGCCUUUAAUCUAAGUCCCCACUCGAUUUUAUGGGUAAGAAGAUGCCUUUUCUACAAGGAAAUAAUACAGAGCAGUCUUAUCCCCCUGUGAUCCUCUGGCUAUGUAAAAAUGCAUAGAAAAUCUGUAAGUUUAAAAUCUGUACUUUCAUAUAUGUUUCAAAAAAAGUAAAGUCAACUUUCUUAUUUCA
Motacilla alba alba is the source of this 1514-nucleotide long non-coding RNA. RefSeq lists it as uncharacterized. The record is from RefSeq and is a predicted model, not a curated record. The transcript has 6 exons. NCBI's taxonomy places the organism in Eukaryota, Metazoa, Chordata, Aves, Passeriformes, Motacillidae.